AUUGAACGCUGGCGGCAGGCCUAACACAUGCAAGUCGAGCGGAUGAAGGGAGCUUGCUCCUGGAUUCAGCGGCGGACGGGUGAGUAAUGCCUAGGAAUCUGCCUGGUAGUGGGGGAUAACGUCGGGAAACGGGCGCUAAUACCGCAUACGUCCUGAGGGAGAAAGUGGGGGAUCUUCGGACCUCACGCUAUCAGAUGAGCCUAGGUCGGAUUAGCUAGUUGGUGGGGUAACUGCCUACCAAGGCGACGAUCCGUAACUGGUCUGAGAGGAUGAUCAGGCACACCGGAACUGAGACACGGUCCAGACUCCUACGGGAGGCAGCAGUUGGGAAUACUGGACGAUGCGCUAAAGCCUGAUCCAGCCAUGCCGCGUGUGUGAAGAAGGUCUUCGGAUUGUAAAGCGCUUUAAGUUGGGAGGAAGGGCAGUAAGUUAAUACCUUGCUGUUUUGACGUUACCAGCAGAAUAAGCACCGGCUAACUUCGUG
Molecule: ribosomal RNA, 484 nt
Filed under: uncultured bacterium
Lineage: Bacteria
Description: partial 16S ribosomal RNA
Rfam family: Bacterial small subunit ribosomal RNA
Source: RNAcentral